GUGCUUGCUUUGGCAGCACAUAUAAUAAAAUUGGAACGAUACAGAGAAGAUUCGCAUGGCCCCUGUGCAAGGAUGACACGCAAAUUUGUGAAGCGUUCCAUAUUAAA
Small nuclear RNA from Mesocricetus auratus (golden hamster), 107 nucleotides. NCBI's taxonomy places the organism in Eukaryota, Metazoa, Chordata, Mammalia, Rodentia, Cricetidae. The record is from Ensembl.